Molecule: non-coding RNA, 921 nt
Filed under: Dryadobates olfersioides
Lineage: Eukaryota; Metazoa; Chordata; Amphibia; Anura; Aromobatidae
Description: partial 12S ribosomal RNA
Rfam family: Bacterial small subunit ribosomal RNA
Source: RNAcentral
GUUUGGUCCUAGCCUUGAAGUCAAUUCUUAGUUAUUAUACACAUGCAAGUCUCCGCAUCCCUGUGAAAACGCCCUUAAACUCCCCCAUUAGGGGACAGGAGCUGGUAUCAGGCACUUUUUAUGCCCAAAACACCUAGCCUCGCCACACCCACAAGGGAUCUCAGCAGUGAUUAACAUUGAAUAUAAGCGACAGCUUGAUUCAGUUAAAUUAUCUAGAGCCGGCCAAUCUGGUGCCAGCCGCCGCGGUUAUACCAGAAGCUCAAAUUGACCUCUUUCGGCGUAAAGCGUGAUUAAAGUAAGUAAUUUUUUGGAGUUAAAUUAAAACUAAGCCGUGACACGCUUGUUAUUUGAGAAACCCAUAAACGAAAGCUACUCCAAUUCUCCCCACUUGAAUUCACGACAACUGAGAAACAAACUGGGAUUAGAUACCCCACUAUGCUCAGUAGUAAACUUUAAAUUACAUUUCACUCGCCCGGGAACUACGAGCUAAGCUUAAAACCCAAAGGACUUGACGGUACCCCACAUCCACCUAGAGGAGCCUGUCCUAUAAUCGAUAACCCCCGUUUAACCUCACCAUUUUUAGCCAAUUCAGCCUGUAUACCUCCGUCGUCAGCUUACCACGUGAGCGCAAGUGAGCUCAAUAUUUUUCUAAAACACGUCAGGUCAAGGUGCAACUUAUAAAAUGGGAAGAGAUGGGCUACACUUUCUAGCAUAGAACAAACGAAAGACCCAAUGAAAAUCAGUCAGAAGGCGGAUUUAGUAGUAAAUAGAAACCAGAGAGUUCAAUUUAAUGCGGCACUGGGGUGUGUACACACCGCCCGUCACCCUCCUCUAACGCUAAAAACAGUUCUUAACCCAUUUCAGCUUAAUAGAAGAGGUAAGUCGUAACAUGGUAAGUAUACCGGAAGGUGUGCUUGGAUA